AUGAGGGUUGCAGGGGUUCCGAGGCGGACCUGGGGAGCAGAAACCCCUGUUUAGGGUGAACCGUGGCGGGCGCCGAUGGCCUCUUGGAAGAGGACAGACUAGCAGCUGCGAGGGAGAUGGGACUGGGUUUCACCCCUGAAAGGGCCCCUGGAGACAGCGGGUGAGGGACAGGGGAAGGGGCUGGUGGUCCUCUCUCCCGAGGCCCCGCACCAUCACACGGAUGACUUGGCACAAUAGCUGCUGGGCCAGUGUUGUCGCCUGUGACUGUACUUUAGGGAAACUGACAGGGAGAUCAUGAUGUCGCCAUUUUGAUGGGGUCCCCAGAGGAGAGAUGUCCUCCCCAACGGCUCCUGGACAGGACUGGGGAAAGAGUUCAGAUAAGUAUCUCUGUGGUCUGGGCUGUCACCUUACAACUGCACAACUCUGGACCUCCAGCAUCAGAACCACUGGGGCCUAGGUUAAUAAUACAGAUUUUCAGGCUCCAAUUUGGACAGACGAAACUGAUCUCUGGGGUGGGACCCAGGAAUCUACGUGUAAACAAGCACCCAGGGGAGUUCUGCUCACUGAAAUUUGAGAAUCCCUGAUUUAGAAGGAGGACUAUGCUCUGUGCAUGUUCUCUGAAAUGUUGGGUCAAUCAGGACCUGUCUACUGAAACUGCUCCAACCAGCCAAGGUGCAGAGAAAAGAUGCGUGCAGGGCCGAAAACCAGGGUGCUCUGGAGGCAGGGAGCCCUCGAGAAUGUAAAGCCAGCAAGCUGUUACAGAGUGAUUUGCACAGAACAGACACUCAGUUGAUAUUUGUCAAUUUGCUGUGUUUAAGAACCUUGCUGAAUUAAUUUAAAAGGUAUUUUUAAAAGAAUGAAAUUGAGGAAAAAACCUUCAAGGUUCAGAAAAUGUGAAGUUCUCAUUUACUUGUUUAUGAAAUUGUUUUUGAGUCCAAUAAAGAUGCUCAGCUAAAAUGGUUUUUUUGUUUUAAAUCUCAGAAUUAAGUUUCUCUUAGUUUUGGGCAGUUCGGUCCAGCUACUUGCAAAAGACAGGCUUCCAUAUCUCCUGUAUGCAGCCCUGAAGGACCCAACAGAAGUAAAAUAGUUAUUUAAGGAAUGCAAAGGACUAGGGACAGGAUGCAGAUUAAAAUGUUUAAGAUGAUGUCUGCAGAUGAUGUUUGUAGAUGCUUAAGUUUGUUGAAUUCUUAGUCUUCCUCACAAAGCAGCUAAUUACUUUCAAGACUCUAGUGAGCCUCAAUUUACUCCAAUUUAUGAUUUCCAAUGGUUCUGCAUAAAACUGGGUUGCCGUUUUAUGAAAUUGUUUGCAUCUGCUUGACGUGGGCGCAAACUUCACAGUGAGGAGAUAAUGUGAGGGUUUUGCCUUCUUGCAAAACAACUUACAUAUAUAUGUGAAAAAACUGGGGUUGGGGUUUGAAUUAUGUGGACUGCCUGUGCGUAGUAAGCUCUCUGGUCAGUUACCUAUUUGGCUUUGUGUGGACACAGCUCUUAGGAGGGAGGGUGGUGGAAUUCCUGCUCAUUACCUAUAGUAUCUUGCAGGAGGGCUGCUGAACGCCGGAGCCUUACAACUGUUAAACUCAGGCAGAGCUCGGGAAAUGCUGCCCGGAUGGGUGACUGAUGGAGAGGGGCUACCACUCUUCCAGCUAAACUCCGCUCUGGUUGGGACCCAGCAAUUAUUUUCCAUAGCGAAGUGUUAAUAAAAUAUCUGUUACUCCCAACACAACCUCCUGGGGGAAGGGACCUGUCUGUCUGCUUCAACUUUGGAUCCUCAGUGCCCACAUCAGGAUACCUGGCCUGAGAGCAUCCGGUGACCCAGUUUUAGGUCUCAAGGUCACUGCCAAGAAAGAGAAGCUGCUAAAGUGACACCUCUGUGCACCCACAUGACUUAACACAAAAGUUAACAGGAGCUCUUCAAAAACAAGCCUCUCGAGUGUCUGUCUCCUGUUUUCCCUGAGGACAGCAUCAGUGGCAUCAGAUAGGGGUUGGGGCUGGGUGACCUGCUGGUCCUCAGCCAUCACUGUGGCCCAGAGGUCAUUUAAGCAGCUCUCUGCUUAGCAGACAGGCAGAGGGAAUAGAUGGAAGGUACAGGUAAACACUGCAUGUGGCCACCGCGAGGAUACCCCGGAGCCUGGGAAACAGACAGGGACGUCGUAAAACCAACACAUAAUGGACCAGUGCAGAGACAGGCAAAACCAGUCAGAAGAAAUAGGAUGGUGCCUAGCCCAGGGACACCUGACUUAAGAGAGGGUCCUGCCGGUAUUACCCUGGAGGAAGGAAUGCUGCACAGAGGCCGAGAGGAAUUUGAACAGACUGGCCUUGCUGGGUUUUUAUCUCUUUUUGUCCAAUCCCAUUUUGACACAGUUGUCCAUGCUCCAAUCAUGCUUAUCCAAUGAAGUUUCCAUAACAGGCCUGAGAGGACAGGGUUCAGGAGCUUCCGGACAGCUGAGCAGGUGGAGGUUCCUGGAGGGUGGUGUGCCAGGGAGGGUGUGGAAGCUCUGCCCCUUCCCCCAUACCUUGUCCUAUGCAUUCCUUUAUCUGCAUCCUUCAUUUUAUUUUAUUUUUUUUUGAGACGGAGUCUUGCUCUUGUCGUCCAGGCUGGAAUGCAGUGGUGCGCGA
RNAcentral lists this long non-coding RNA (2616 nucleotides) under Homo sapiens (human). RNAcentral describes it as "HSALNT0290398". Lineage: Eukaryota; Metazoa; Chordata; Mammalia; Primates; Hominidae. The record is from RNAcentral.